AUCCUUUUGCAGUUCAUAAGAGUGGUGAUUGGGUGUUCACACCGUUGUGUGACAUGUGCCACCCUUAAACCUUGUUAUGAUGUCGGCACAUUACCCAUCUGACU
RNAcentral lists this small nucleolar RNA (104 nucleotides) under Suricata suricatta (meerkat). Its description in RNAcentral is "Small nucleolar RNA U13 (ENSSSUG00005007612.1)". It matches the Rfam family "Small nucleolar RNA U13". The record is from Rfam by way of RNAcentral. Lineage: Eukaryota; Metazoa; Chordata; Mammalia; Carnivora; Herpestidae.